Molecule: long non-coding RNA, 959 nt
Filed under: Gallus gallus (chicken)
Lineage: Eukaryota; Metazoa; Chordata; Aves; Galliformes; Phasianidae
Description: lncRNA (ENSGALG00010009725.1)
Source: RNAcentral
GUGGGCUGUCUGUAUGGGAUCAGCAGGAUCUCACUAUGGGAUCAGUAGGAUCUCUCUAUGGGAUCAGCAGGAUCUCACUAUGGGACCACCAGGCUGUCCGUAUGGGAUCAGUGGGCUGUCUGUAUGGGAUGAGUGGGCUGUCUGUAUGGGAUCAGUAGGAUGUCACUAUGGGAUCAGCAGGCUGUCACUAUGGGAUCACCGCAACGUCACCAUGGGAUCAGAAGGCUGUCUGUAUGGGAUCAGUAGGAUGUCACUAUGGGAUCAGAAGGCUGUCACUAUGGGAUCACCGCAACGUCACCAUGGGAUCAGCAGGCUGUCUGUAUGGGAUCACCAGGAUGUCCCUAUGGGAUCACCAAGCUGUCCCUAUGAGAUCAGCAGGAUGUCACUAUGGGAUCAGCAGGCUGUCUGUAUGGGAUCAGCAGACUGUCCCUAUGGGAUCUGUAGGCUGUCCGUAUGGGAUCAGAAGGCUGACCUAAUGGGAUCAGUGGGCUGUCUGUAUGGGAUCAGCAGGCUGUUCCUAUGGGAUAAGCAGGAUCUCUCUAUGGGAUCAGUAGGAUCUCACUAUGGGACCACCAGGCUGUCCGUGUGGGAUCAGUGGGCUGUCUGUAUGGGAUGAGGCGGCUGUCCAUAUGGAAUCAGUGGGCUGUCUGUAUGGGAUCAGUAGGAUCUCACUAUGGGACCACCAGGCAGUCCGUGUGGGAUCAGUGGGCUGUCUGUAUGGGAUGAGGCGGCUGACCUAAUGGGAUCAGUGGGCUGUCUGUAUGGGAUCAGCAGGCUGUCACUAUGGGAUCAGCAGGCUGUCCGUAUGGGAUCAGCGGGCUGUCUGUAUGGGAUCAGUGGGCUGUCUGUAUGGGAUCAGCAGGAUCUCACUAUGGGACCAUCAGGCUGUCCGUGUGGGAUCAGCGGUGUGGUGCUGUGCGGUGCGGGGCGGUACGGUGCGGUGUGGGGUGGGGUGGGGU